This 484-nucleotide ribosomal RNA is filed under the name uncultured bacterium. Its description in RNAcentral is "partial 16S ribosomal RNA". It matches the Rfam family "Bacterial small subunit ribosomal RNA", at positions 30 to 507 of the family's 1533-position model. The record is from RNAcentral.
AUUGAACGCUGGCGGCAGGCCUAACACAUGCAAGUCGAGCGGAUGAAGGGAGCUUGCUCCUGGAUUCAGCGGCGGACGGGUGAGUAAUGCCUAGGAAUCUGCCUGGUAGUGGGGGAUAACGUCCGGAAACGGGCGCUAAUACCGCAUACGUCCUGAGGGAGAAAGUGGGGGAUCUUCGGACCUCACGCUAUCAGAUGAGCCUAGGUCGGAUUAGCUAGUUGGUGGGGUAAAGGCCUACCAAGGCGACGAUCCGUAACUGGUCUGAGAGGAUGAUCAGUCAAAGUGGAACUGAGAAACGGUCCAGACUCCGACGGGAGGCAGCAGGAGGGAAUCUUGCGCAAUGGUCGAAAGCUUGAAGGAGCAACGCCGCGUGAGUGAGGAAGGUCUUCGGAUCGUAAAACUCUGUUAUUAGGGAAGAAAAAAAGUGUAAGUAAAUAUGCACGCCUUGACGGUCCCUAAGCAGAAAGCCACCGCUAACUACGUG